UUCAUGGAGAGUUUGAUCCUGGCUCAGGACGAACGCUGGCGGCGUGCCUAAUACAUGCAAGUCGAGCGGACAGAUGGGAGCUUGCUCCCUGAUGUUAGCGGCGGACGGGUGAGUAACACGUGGGUAACCUGCCUGUAAGACUGGGAUAACUCCGGGAAACCGGGGCUAAUACCGGAUGCUUGAUUGAACCGCAUGGUUCAAUUAUAAAAGGUGGCUU
Molecule: ribosomal RNA, 217 nt
Filed under: Bacillus sp. MBGLi97
Lineage: Bacteria; Bacillati; Bacillota; Bacilli; Caryophanales; Bacillaceae
Also listed under: 1 other name
Description: partial 16S ribosomal RNA
Rfam family: Bacterial small subunit ribosomal RNA
Source: RNAcentral